AGGCAAGCAGUGAGGGAAAUAUUUGGUUCAAUUGCCAAAAACUUCUGGAAUCAAGCCAUGGCGCGGUGCAAAGAAGGACGGCUCGUGGGAGUAGUAAACUGCUUUUUUAAGAAGGGUAAACUUAAGUUACGGGUCCCUAAACGGCAAGUAUCUAAGAAUAAGGAUCGGUUACUCCGUGCCAGCCAGCCGCGGUAAUACGGAGGAUCCAAGCGUUAUCCGGAAUUAUUGGGUUUAAAGGGUGCGUAGGGUGGCUUAUAAGUCAGUGGUUAAAACCGAUAGCUCAACUAUCGCGGUGCCAUUGAAACUGUAUAGCUAGAGAGUGGUUGCAGUAGGCGGAAUGUGUAGUGUAGCGGUGAAAUGCUUAGAUAUUACACAGAACACCGAUUGCGAAGGCAGCUUACUAAGCCAUAUCUGACACUGAUGCACGAAAGCGUGGGUAUCAAACAGGAUUAGAUACCCUGGUAGUCCAUGCCGUAAACGAUGAUAACUCGUUGUAGGCGAUACACAGUCUGUAACCAAGCGAAAGCGAUAAGUUAUCCACCUGGGGAGUACGACCGCAAGGUUGAAACUCAAAGGAAUUGACGGGGGCCCGCACAAGCGGAGGAACAUGUGGUUUAAUUCGAUGAUACGCGAGGAACCUUACCCGGGCUUGAAAGUUAGUGAUCGAACUGGAAACAGUUUUUCUCUUCGGAGCACGAAACUAGGUGCUGCAUGGUUGUCGUCAGCUCGUGCCGUGAGGUGUCGGGUUAAGUCCCAUAACGAGCGCAACCCCUACUGAUAGUUGCCAACGAGUAAUGUCGGGGACUCUAUCGGGACUGCCAGUGUAAACCGCGAGGAAGGUGGGGAUGACGUCAAAUCAGCACGGCCCUUACGUCCGGGGCGACACACGUGUUACAAUGGUCGGUACGGAGGGUCGCUACCUAGUGAUAGGAUGCCAAUCUCAAAAGCCGAUCUCAGUUCGGAUUGGAGGCUGAAACUCGCCUCCAUGAAGUUGGAUUCGCUAGUAAUCGCAUAUCAGCCAUGAUGCGGUGAAUACGUUCCCGGGCCUUGUACACACCGCCCGUCAAGCCAUGGAAGUUUGGGGUGCCUGAAGUUGUGUCCGCCAGGAGCGUCAUAGGGUUACACAGAUACCU
This 1133-nucleotide ribosomal RNA is filed under the name uncultured bacterium. RNAcentral's name for it is "bacterial SSU rRNA". It matches the Rfam family "Bacterial small subunit ribosomal RNA", at positions 342 to 1476 of the family's 1533-position model. The record is from RNAcentral.